AUUGAACGCUGGCGGCAGGCCUAACACAUGCAAGUCGAACGGUAACAGGAAGACGCUUGCUUCUUUGCUGACGAGUGGCGGACGGGUGAGUAAUGUCUGGGAAACUGCCUGAUGGAGGGGGAUAACUCCUGGAAACGGUAGCUAAUACCGCAUAACGUCGCAAGACCAAGGAGGGGGACUUUCGGGCCCCUUGCCAUCGGAUGUGCCCAGAUGGGAUUGGCUAUUAGGUGGGGUAACGGCUCACCUAGGCGACGAUCCCUAGCUGGUCUGAGAGGAUGACCAGCCACACUGGAACUGAGACACGGUCCAGACUCCUACGGGAGGCAGCAGUGGGGAAUAUUGCACAAUGGGCGCAAGCCUGAUGCAGCCAUGCCGCGUGUAUGAAGAAGGCCUUCGGGUUGUAAAGUACUUUCAGCGGGGAGGGAGGGAGUAAAGUUAAUACCUUUGCUCAUUGACGUUACCCGCAGAAGAAGCACCGGCUAACUCCGUG
RNAcentral lists this ribosomal RNA (490 nucleotides) under uncultured bacterium. Its description in RNAcentral is "partial 16S ribosomal RNA". It matches the Rfam family "Bacterial small subunit ribosomal RNA", at positions 30 to 507 of the family's 1533-position model. The record is from RNAcentral.